AGAGUUUGAUCAUGGCUCAGAUUGAACGCUGGCGGCAGGCCUAACACAUGCAAGUCGAACGGUAACAGGAAGCAGCUUGCUGCUUUGCUGACGAGUGGCGGACGGGUGAGUAAUGUCUGGGAAACUGCCUGAUGGAGGGGGAUAACUACUGGAAACGGUAGCUAAUACCGCAUAAUGUCGCAAGACCAAAGAGGGGGACCUUCGGGCCUCUUGCCAUCGGAUGUGCCCAGAUGGGAUUAGCUGGUAGGUGGGGUAACGGCUCACCUAGGCGACGAUCCCUAGCUGGUCUGAGAGGAUGACCAGCCACACUGGAACUGAGACACGGUCCAGACUCCUACGGGAGGCAGCAGUGGGGAAUAUUGCACAAUGGGCGCAAGCCUGAUGCAGCCAUGCCGCGUGUAUGAAGAAGGCCUUCGGGUUGUAAAGUACUUUCAGCGGGGAGGAAGGGAGUAAAGUUAAUACCUUUGCUCAUUGACGUUACCCGCAGAAGAAGCACCGGCUAACUCCGUGCCAGCAGCCGCGGUAAUACGGAGGGUGCAAGCGUUAAUCGGAAUUACUGGGCGUAAAGCGCACGCAGGCGGUUUGUUAAGUCAGAUGUGAAAUCCCCGGGCUCAACCUGGGAACUGCAUCUGAUACUGGCAAGCUUGAGUCUCGUAGAGGGGGGUAGAAUUCCAGGUGUAGCGGUGAAAUGCGUAGAGAUCUGGAGGAAUACCGGUGGCGAAGGCGGCCCCCUGGACGAAGACUGACGCUCAGGUGCGAAAGCGUGGGGAGCAAACAGGAUUAGAUACCCUGGUAGUCCACGCCGUAAACGAUGUCGACUUGGAGGUUGUGCCCUUGAGGCGUGGCUUCCGGAGCUAACGCGUUAAGUCGACCGCCUGGGGAGUACGGCCGCAAGGUUAAAACUCAAAUGAAUUGACGGGGGCCCGCACAAGCGGUGGAGCAUGUGGUUUAAUUCGAUGCAACGCGAAGAACCUUACCUGGUCUUGACAUCCACGGAAGUUUUCAGAGAUGAGAAUGUGCCUUCGGGAACCGUGAGACAGGUGCUGCAUGGCUGUCGUCAGCUCGUGUUGUGAAAUGUUGGGUUAAGUCCCGCAACGAGCGCAACCCUUAUCCUUUGUUGCCAGCGGUCCGGCCGGGAACUCAAAGGAGACUGCCAGUGAUAAACUGGAGGAAGGUGGGGAUGACGUCAAGUCAUCAUGGCCCUUACGACCAGGGCUACACACGUGCUACAAUGGCGCAUACAAAGAGAAGCGACCUCGCGAGAGCAAGCGGACCUCAUAAAGUGCGUCGUAGUCCGGAUUGGAGUCUGCAACUCGACUCCAUGAAGUCGGAAUCGCUAGUAAUCGUGGAUCAGAAUGCCACGGUGAAUACGUUCCCGGGCCUUGUACACACCGCCCGUCACACCAUGGGAGUGGGUUGCAAAAGAAGUAGGUAGCUUAACCUUCGGGAGGGCGCUUACCACUUUGUGAUUCAUGACUGGGGUGAAGUCGUAACAAGGUAACCGUAGGGGAACCUGCGGUUGGAUCACCU
RNAcentral lists this ribosomal RNA (1530 nucleotides) under Escherichia coli HVH 175 (4-3405184). RNAcentral's name for it is "bacterial SSU rRNA". It matches the Rfam family "Bacterial small subunit ribosomal RNA". The record is from RNAcentral. Lineage: Bacteria; Pseudomonadati; Pseudomonadota; Gammaproteobacteria; Enterobacterales; Enterobacteriaceae. RNAcentral also lists the same sequence under 3 other names.